Molecule: ribosomal RNA, 440 nt
Filed under: uncultured bacterium
Lineage: Bacteria
Description: partial 16S ribosomal RNA
Rfam family: Bacterial small subunit ribosomal RNA
Source: RNAcentral
CCUACGGGGGGCAGCAGUAGGGAAUAUUGCUCAAUGGGGGAAACCCUGAAGCAGCAACGCCGCGUGGAGGAUGAAGGUUUUCGGAUUGUAAACUCCUUUUGUCAGAGAAGAUAAUGACGGUAUCUAACGAAUAAGCACCGGCUAACUCCGUGCCAGCAGCCGCGGUAAUACGGAGGGUGCAAGCGUUACUCGGAAUCACUGGGCGUAAAGAGCGCGUAGGCGGGAUAGCAAGUCAGAUGUGAAAUCCUAGGGCUUAACCAUAGAACUGCAUUUGAAACUGUUAUUCUAGAGUAUGGGAGAGGUAGGUGGAAUUCUUGGUGUAGGGGUGAAAUCCGUAGAGAUCAAGAGGAAUACUCAUGGCGAAGGCGACCUGCUAGAACAUAACUGACGCUGAGGCGCGAAAGCGUGGGGAGCAAACAGGAUUAGAUACCCCAGUAGUC